UAGGGAAUAUUGGACAAUGGGGGCAACCCUGAUCCAGCCAUGCCGCGUGAGUGAAGAAGGCCCUCGGGUUGUAAAGCUCUUUUGUCCGGAAAGAAAAGCUUCGGGUUAAUACCCCGGGGUUCUGACGGUACCGGAAGAAUAAGCACCGGCUAACUUCGUGCCAGCAGCCGCGGUAAUACGAAGGGUGCAAGCGUUACUCGGAAUUACUGGGCGUAAAGCGUGCGUAGGUGGUUGUUUAAGUCUGAUGUGAAAGCCCUGGGCUCAACCUGGGAAUGGCAUUGGAAACUGGGCAGCUAGAGUGCGGUAGAGGGUAGUGGAAUUCCCGGUGUAGCAGUGAAAUGCGUAGAGAUCGGGAGGAAUAUCUGUGGCGAAGGCGACUGCCUGGACCAGCACUGACACUGAGGCACGAAAGCGUGGGGAGCAAACA
RNAcentral lists this ribosomal RNA (427 nucleotides) under uncultured bacterium. RNAcentral's name for it is "bacterial SSU rRNA". It matches the Rfam family "Bacterial small subunit ribosomal RNA", at positions 355 to 774 of the family's 1533-position model. The record is from RNAcentral.